Molecule: ribosomal RNA, 461 nt
Filed under: uncultured bacterium
Lineage: Bacteria
Description: bacterial SSU rRNA
Rfam family: Bacterial small subunit ribosomal RNA
Source: RNAcentral
ACGCUGGCGGCGUGCCUAACACAUGCAAGUCGAACGGGGUAGAGAGCUUCGGUUUUCUACUUAGUGGCGAACGGGUGAGUAACGCGUGAGAAACCUGCCUUUCAGUGGGGGGACAACAGUUGGAAACGACUGCUAAUACCGCAUAAUGUUAUUUGGGGGGCAUCCCUGAAUAACCAAAGCUUUAUGUGCUGAAAGAUGGACCCGCGUCUGAUUAGCUAGUUGGUGAGGUAACGGCCCACCAAGGCGACGAUCAGUAGCCGGCCUGAGAGGGUGAACGGCCACAUUGGAACUGAGACACGGUCCAAACUCCUACGGGAGGCAGCAGGUGGGGAAUAUUGCACAAUGGGGGAAACCCUGAUGCAGCGACGCCGCGUGAGCGAAGAAGUAUUUCGGUAUGUAAAGCUCUAUCAGCAGGGAAGAUAAUGACGGUACCUGACUAAGAAGCCCCGGCUAACUACGUG